This 229-nucleotide ribosomal RNA is filed under the name uncultured bacterium. RNAcentral describes it as "partial 16S ribosomal RNA". It matches the Rfam family "Bacterial small subunit ribosomal RNA", at positions 568 to 796 of the family's 1533-position model. The record is from RNAcentral.
UGCGUAGGCGGAUUAUUUAGUCAGUGGUGAAAUCCUGCGGCUUAACCGUAGAACUGCCAUUGAUACUGGUAAUCUUGAAUUUAGUUGAGGUAGGCGGAAUGUGUAAUGUAGCGGUGAAAUGCUUAGAUAUUACACAGAACACCAAUUGCGUAGGCAGCUUACUAAGCUAAUAUUGACGCUGAGGCACGAAAGCGUGGGGAGCGAACAGGAUUAGAUACCCUGGUAGUCC